This is a long non-coding RNA of Elephantulus edwardii (Cape elephant shrew), 173 nucleotides long. RefSeq lists it as uncharacterized. NCBI's taxonomy places the organism in Eukaryota, Metazoa, Chordata, Mammalia, Macroscelidea, Macroscelididae. The record is from RefSeq and is a predicted model, not a curated record. The transcript is spliced from 3 exons.
AUGGACGCCCAGAAGGACGUGCAACCCCCAAAACAGCAACCAAUGAUAUACAUCUGUGGAGAGUGUCACACAGAAAAUGAAAUAAAAUCCAGGGAUCCAAUCAGAUGCCGCGAAUGUGGAUAUAGAAUAAUGUACAAGAAAAGGACUAAAAGAUUGGUGGUUUUUGAUGCUCG